AAUCAACGCUGGCGGCGUGCCUAACACAUGCAAGUCGAACGGGAAAGUGGAGCAAUCCAUGAGUAUAGUGGCGACCGGGUGAGUAACACGUGACUAACCUACCUUCAAGUGGGGGAUAACCUCGGGAAACCGGGGCUAAUACCGCAUAAUAUCCUUGUUAUGAGAAAGCAGGGAUCAAAGGAGCAAUUCGCUGGAAGAGGGGGUCGCGGCUGAUUAGCUAGUUGGUGGGGUAAUGGCCCACCAAGGCUUUGAUCGGUAGCCGGCCUGAGAGGGCGCACGGCCACACUGGAACU
RNAcentral lists this ribosomal RNA (293 nucleotides) under uncultured bacterium. RNAcentral's name for it is "partial 16S ribosomal RNA". It matches the Rfam family "Bacterial small subunit ribosomal RNA", at positions 32 to 320 of the family's 1533-position model. The record is from RNAcentral.